Molecule: long non-coding RNA, 114 nt
Organism: Etheostoma spectabile (orangethroat darter)
Lineage: Eukaryota; Metazoa; Chordata; Actinopteri; Perciformes; Percidae
Exons: 3
Source: RefSeq, a predicted model, not a curated record
AAUUGAAUAUCUUUAGGUUUUGGACUGUUGGUCAGACAAAACAAGACAUUUGAAGAUGUCACAUUUGGCAUUAGGAAAUUGUGACAGGCAUUAUUUUCUUUAUUAUUUUCAAAC